RNAcentral lists this ribosomal RNA (497 nucleotides) under uncultured bacterium. RNAcentral describes it as "partial 16S ribosomal RNA". It matches the Rfam family "Bacterial small subunit ribosomal RNA", at positions 28 to 507 of the family's 1533-position model. The record is from RNAcentral.
GAUGAACGCUGGCGGCGUGCCUAAUACAUGCAAGUCGAGCGAACGGACGAGAAGCUUGCUUUUCUGAUGUUAGCGGUGGACGGGUGAGUAACACGUGGAUAACCUACCUAUAAGACUGGGAUAACUUCGGGAAACCGGAGCUAAUACCGGAUAAUAUUUUGAACCGCAUGGUUCAAAAGUGAAAGACGGUCUUGCUGUCACUUAUAGAUGGAUCCGCGCUGCAUUAGCUAGUUGGUAAGGUAACGGCUUACCAAGGCAACGAUGCAUAGCCGACCUGAGAGGGUGAUCGGCCACACUGGAACUGAGACACGGUCCAGACUCCUACGGGAGGCAGCAGUAGGGAAUCUUCCGCAAUGGGCGAAAGCCUGACGGAGCAACGCCGCGUGAGUGAUGAAGGUCUUCGGAUCGUAAAACUCUGUUAUUAGGGAAGAACAUAUGUGUAAGUAACUGUGCACAUCUUGACGGUACCUAAUCAGAAAGCCACGGCUAACUACGUG